RNAcentral lists this long non-coding RNA (245 nucleotides) under Medicago truncatula (barrel medic). RNAcentral describes it as "long non-coding RNA (MTRU_LNC007320)". Lineage: Eukaryota; Viridiplantae; Streptophyta; Magnoliopsida; Fabales; Fabaceae. The record is from RNAcentral.
AACAAUUCAUUUCUUCCAAUUCAACACAAUUCAACAACAACAUCUCAACAUAAUUCAUACCCAAGUCAUGCAAUGAGAUCAUCAUCAACAAUUAACCACAACAACAACUUAUGAUCAUGCAUUCCAUCAUAUUUCAACAACAACAUGUCAUAAUUCACCAAUUUCACAAAACCACCAACAACAAUCCAUUUCUCAACAACAAAUCAUGAAUCAUGCAAACCCAAGCCAUGAAUUAUCAUCAACAA